UGCUCUUUGUUGAAAAGCGCUAUACAAAUAAAAUUGAAUUGAAUGCGCAUGUAAAGGCAGACGUCCCAAAACUUUUGGCUAUUAAGUGUAUAUUACCUUUUGCACUUGUAAGUAAAUUACAGUGUUUUCUGUAAGUCAACCUUUAGUGACAUAAUCACAUUGGACGAAGGCGUAUUUGGAAGGACAACUGCUGGGUGCUGGAGGAUUGGCUGUGUUUUUGCUGGGACACGCAAAGAAGACGGAUUGCCAGUUGCAAUCAAGUACGUCUCCAAAAAGAUGCCUUAUGAAAAACUGCAGCUUACAGGAUAUGGAUGGCUGCCCAUUGAGAUAGCUUUGACGAUCCUUGCAAACACAGAACCUUGCUCAAAAAUCCUGAAGAUUCUGGACUUGUACGAAGAGGCAAAAUGAUACGUUUUCGUCCAGGAACAGCCUGAACCAUGUGUGGACCUCGAGGAAUUCUCCGGCCAGCAAGGUGGAUAUUUGACUGAGGUCGUGGCUCGCCAUGUUAUGUUUCAGCUGAUGGAGGCUCUGAAGCAUUGUAAGAGCCAGGGGAUACUGCAUCAUGAUGUCAAGCCAGAAAACAUUCUGAUUCAGACAGGCACGUGGCAAGUCAAGCUGUUUGACUUGAAAGAGACCUCGUCAAAUACGAGGAGCAUUAUGCAGAGCAUUAUGUGGAAGUAACCUCCAAAUGACCUUGCCUUGUUCUACAUUGAAUCACACAUGACUAAAUGCACUAAUACUUUGAAUUUUGAAUAUAAUGUUUCAUUUCUAAUAUUGUAAGACUGUUAUGAUCUAGCUGUGCUAAUGUAUAAUUGAGAGCAUGAGCUUCAGGCAGAAUUACAGUUGAACAUGCAAAAUUAAUCUGCUUUUGUUAAAUUUGUUUCUCAGCAAGGACUUGUCAUAAUCACUUUUUCAGAACUGACAUUGAAAAGGGAAAUUAUAGUUUUUGGAUUUAGGGUUUCUAGCGUUUAUAAUCAAUGAGAAAGAGAUUAGAAAUAGAAAUGAGAUUGUAUUGUGAAUUUAUUUUUGAAUAACCACAGACCCGAGGAACUACUGUACAAUGUCUGUUUAAACAUUGCCUCUCAGUCCUAUGUAGACAUUAUGGCAAUAAUGUUAAGCUCCAACUCUUCUGCAUUCAUGCAUCUCCUGAACAUCUCCCGAUCAGCUACCGGUGUAUUCGCUCGGCCGAGGUGGAGGGUCAGCGCGCACACAGGAGCAGCAGUGGAGUGAAGUUCUGUGUUGUGUCCGAUCUUCAGUCAAGAGGAGCUGAACAUGCCUUAGAGAUCUUGUACUUCUUGGAUUCUAUCACAAGUCAAAGUCUGCUGUUGCGUGGACCAUCUGUCUGGCAUUAAACUGACACCAAAACCAGCACAUGUUUAUAAUUAUACGAGUUGCCUGUUUUCUGGCUUGAUCUGAAAUUUUUACAUCACUUAAGUGUGUGGUGGUGUAUUCAUCAAGUGCAAAUGACAAAGAAAUUUCAAGAAAAUUUUCAUGAUGUACCUAGUAGUGUUCUUUUUUCAUUUUCCACUGUUUCCUUCACCUGUCUGUCUUGUCAUUGAGAACUUUGAAAGGGCUCAAAGUUGAAUGUAAUCCACAUUACAUUAAUGUGAAUAUAAACCACAUUACAUCAAAGUUGAAUCCACAUUCAUACU
Molecule: long non-coding RNA, 1652 nt
Organism: Hemibagrus wyckioides
Lineage: Eukaryota; Metazoa; Chordata; Actinopteri; Siluriformes; Bagridae
Exons: 3
Source: RefSeq, a predicted model, not a curated record